RNAcentral lists this ribosomal RNA (895 nucleotides) under uncultured bacterium. Its description in RNAcentral is "bacterial SSU rRNA". It matches the Rfam family "Bacterial small subunit ribosomal RNA", at positions 62 to 999 of the family's 1533-position model. The record is from RNAcentral.
UCGANCGGGAAUCUUCGGAUUCUAGUGGCGGACGGGUGAGUAACGCGUAAGAAUCUAACUUCAGGACGGGGACAACAGUUGGAAACGACUGCUAAUACCCGAUGUGCCGCAAGGUGAAAACUAAUUGGCCUGAAGAAGAGCUUGCGUCUGAUUAGCUAGUUGGUGGGGUAAGAGCCUACCAAGGCGACGAUCAGUAGCUGGUCUGAGAGGAUGAGCAGCCACACUGGGACUGAGACACGGCCCAGACUCCUACGGGAGGCAGCAGUGGGGAAUUUUCCGCAAUGGGCGAAAGCCUGACGGAGCAACGCCGCGUGAGGGAGGAAGGUCUUUGGAUUGUAAACCUCUUUUCUCAAGGAAGAAGUUCUGACGGUACUUGAGGAAUCAGCCUCGGCUAACUCCGUGCCAGCAGCCGCGGUAAUACGGGGGAGGCAAGCGUUAUCCGGAAUUAUUGGGCGUAAAGCGUCCGCAGGUGGUCAGCCAAGUCUGCCGUCAAAUCAGGUUGCUUAACGACCUAAAGGCGGUGGAAACUGGCAGACUAGAGAGCAGUAGGGGUAGCAGGAAUUCCCAGUGUAGCGGUGAAAUGCGUAGAGAUUGGGAAGAACAUCGGUGGCGAAAGCGUGCUACUGGGCUGUAUCUGACACUCAGGGACGAAAGCUAGGGGAGCGAAAGGGAUUAGAUACCCCUGUAGUCCUAGCCGUAAACGAUGGAUACUAGGCGUGGCUUGUAUCGACCCGAGCCGUGCCGAAGCUAACGCGUUAAGUAUCCCGCCUGGGGAGUACGCACGCAAGUGUGAAACUCAAAGGAAUUGACGGGGGCCCGCACAAGCGGUGGAGUAUGUGGUUUAAUUCGAUGCAACGCGAAGAACCUUACCAAGACUUGACAUGUCGCGAACCCU